GAUGAACGCUGGCGGCGUGCCUAAUACAUGCAAGUCGAGCGAACGGACGAGAAGCUUGCUUCUCUGAUGUUAGCGGCGGACGGGUGAGUAACACGUGGAUAACCUACCUAUAAGACUGGGAUAACUUCGGGAAACCGGAGCUAAUACCGGAUAAUAUUUUGAACCGCAUGGUUCAAAAGUGAAAGACGGUCUUGCUGUCACUUAUAGAUGGAUCCGCGCUGCGUUAGCUAGUUGGUAAGGUAACGGCUUACCAAGGCAACGAUGCAUAGCCGACCUGAGAGGGUGAUCGGCCACACUGGAACGGAGACACGGUCCAGACUCCUACGGAGGCAGCAGUAGGGAAUCUUCCGCAAUGGGCGAAAGCCUGACGGAGCAACGCCGCGUGAGUGAUGAAGGUCUUCGGAUCGUAAAACUCUGUUAUUAGGGAAGAACAUAUGUGUAAGUAACUGUGCACAUCUUGACGGUACCUAAUCAGAAAGCCACGGCUAACUACGUG
Molecule: ribosomal RNA, 496 nt
Filed under: uncultured bacterium
Lineage: Bacteria
Description: partial 16S ribosomal RNA
Rfam family: Bacterial small subunit ribosomal RNA
Source: RNAcentral